Molecule: unclassified non-coding RNA, 314 nt
Filed under: Dysidea cf. arenaria AG-2019
Lineage: Eukaryota; Metazoa; Porifera; Demospongiae; Dictyoceratida; Dysideidae
Description: sequence contains 28S rRNA gene
Source: RNAcentral
ACGGGGUGACCAGAGCGUCCCCCGGCGUCCGCCGGAGGCAGAGCCGUACUCCUCGCGAGCACGGACCAGCAGCGGUCGGAGYGGGGCCAYAAGGCCGCGGGUACGGUACGUCGGGUCGGGCUUCGGCUCGCUCGACGACUUACAGACCGGCGAGCCGGCGUCCCGCUCUGACCGAGGAAGGAGGGCAGCUCUUGCCCGGUGUGGUGCACGCCGUACGGCGGGGCCUCCCGUCGGGGGCGAGCCGUCCUGUGUGGACUGCNUGCAGUGCUCACGGUGGCGGCGGACCCACGGUCGGUGAGCGUCNCUUGUGCUCC